AGUGAGUGACUCAUAAAUCCACUGCCUUUCACUCUUCUCCUUCCCAUCUUCUCAAUCCCACCCGCUUCACUUGAAGUUCUAUCUGUAAUUCACAGUCCCAUAACUAUUCCCCUUAUUUUUAUUCAGCCCUGGGCUAUUUUUCUUUUCUUUGCCGGUUCCUCAUGCUCACACAUUUGUAAUUAUUCAUUCCACUUUCCCCUUCCUUUUAAUCCAGCUAUACAGUAUUUUCUAUUUUAUCUAGAUGAAAAUUUUUGAGGAUUUGUAGUUCCUCUUUCUUAGCUUUUUGUAGAAGUUUUCCUGUAUUCAGUCUUCUGGUAAUGUUCUC
RNAcentral lists this long non-coding RNA (325 nucleotides) under Homo sapiens (human). RNAcentral's name for it is "non-protein coding lnc-C3orf30-13:1". Lineage: Eukaryota; Metazoa; Chordata; Mammalia; Primates; Hominidae. The record is from RNAcentral.